ACAACACCCCAUCUCAGAGACCAAACACUUGGAACCCUAGUCGUCGCCACUUCCACCACCCAGAAACCCGGCGGCUCCACUCAUUUUCACCACAAAAUUAACACCAAAUUAUCUCUUCAACCUCCUCUCCACCAAUCUUUAUUCCCUUUCCCUCGAAUCCCCCUCAAACUGCUCGAAGUUUGGAUAUGAGGAUCGAACCCUAGUUCCCAAAAGGCUCAAGUUUGAUUUUGUUUGAAGAUUUGGGAUAGUUUUGAUUUUAUUCGUGUGUUCUUAUUAAGAACACACGUAGGCCAGAAAGUCCAAAGAAGUUUGAAGUUUCGAUCCCUUCCUUCAUGCGUUGGAGUCCUUGUAGGUACUUCUUUUUCAUUUGUUUUUCUUUUGUUAGUUUUUCUUUCUACUUUACUUUUUCUUUUAUUUUUUACCUUCUGUGGCCAUCUGCUUCUCCCCCUUUCUUUUGAACUUAUUUUGCUUUCCAAGUUACAGAGUGUCCUUUACAUGCAUUUUAGUCUUAAUAAAACCAUUUUCUCUAAUUCAGUAUGUUAAUUAGGUUGGUUGCAAAUUAUUAAUUCUAGUUCGAUUUUGAAAUUAUCUGAAUUGUUCUAUUUUGUUUCUCCUCAAUUAGUUUGUUUGUUCUUGGGCUAGGGAGGGGUUCAUAAUUUUAGGCUCAAACUGAUGAUUUGGGCUGGACUUCUAAAUGAGUCAGCCCAGGAUCGACUUGACCCAUAACCAAUUUGAGGUUCAAGGGGUAAAAAUUCAGGAGUAACUAGGGGUAAUUGGGAUAAUGCACCUAAAGAAUCUCUCAGUAACAACCUGAAGAAGCUUCCUAGAAGCUGCAAAAUAGACUAGCUUCGCUAACAAGUCAAUAAUCUAGGGACUAAGUAUUAUAAAAGAAAAUUCGAAAAGGACUAAAUGAAAAAAUGAAAAAGCUAAAUCCUUAAGGCUGCCCUAGUAACUUGCCUAUAAAGAUAUUGUUACUUGCAACUCAAUUCAUAUUUUAGAAAAGAGAAAAUUUUGGAAAAAACCAAAAGAGUAAAAAUUUCCAAAAGUUACUGUUCCUUUGAAUUUUCCUUAGUGAUUUUGAAGUUUCCCAGUUCUGAAUCAGAUCUCUAGCUAUUUUGAUGUCGAAAAUGGCUUAGGUAGUGCUGUGAUUUUAGCAUCUAAGGUCCUGAAACCUCCUGGGGAUAUUUGACUUUGAACUUGGUCAUUUGAGCUUGGUUUGAGCUGUUUUGGCUAGUUGUUUACUACUGACUCACACGGUGUAUGUGCUGAUUAUUCACCCCUGUUUUCUCUCAAAUUUUCAGGUGCUUUAUAAGCUAAUGAUUGAGGAAUGAUUGUUGAACAUGUAAUAGAGUUGAAGUUUUGUUAAAUGAAGACUCUAUUUGGAGUUGAUUUCACAUUUUCCUUAUACUAUGUCCAUGUUCUGUAUUUAGAUUUCAAGUUUUAGAUGUUAAUUAGCAUUUUUUUCUCUUAAAUUGAGUAUGUGAAAGUCAUCUAGUUUAGUAUUUUGUAUAUUCAUGUUUGACGUUGUAUCCUAGCUGAUAGCUUUAUCAUUUUUCUGCAGAGAAUCAUUUAGCUUGUAUAAGGCUGAAUGUUGGCCUGCGUGUAUACUGAUUUAUGCAAAUGUAGUUUAAUAGGCAUGAUUGUCAC
RNAcentral lists this long non-coding RNA (1647 nucleotides) under Nicotiana benthamiana. Its description in RNAcentral is "long non-coding RNA (NBEN_LNC007210)". The record is from RNAcentral. Lineage: Eukaryota; Viridiplantae; Streptophyta; Magnoliopsida; Solanales; Solanaceae.